UUGCCGGGAUAGCUCAGUNGGUAGAGCAGAGGA
This 33-nucleotide transfer RNA is filed under the name Odontoschisma zhui. RNAcentral describes it as "partial tRNA-Phe". The record is from RNAcentral. Lineage: Eukaryota; Viridiplantae; Streptophyta; Jungermanniopsida; Jungermanniales; Cephaloziaceae.